AUCUAUGGCCGUACCACCCUAAACGCACCUGAUUUCGUCUGAUCUUGGAAGCUAAGCAGUGUUGGGCCUGGUUAGUGCUUGGAUGGGAGACAGGUUAAAGACUGCAGGGUGAAGGGUG
Ribosomal RNA from Nomascus leucogenys (northern white-cheeked gibbon), 118 nucleotides. The record is from Ensembl. Lineage: Eukaryota; Metazoa; Chordata; Mammalia; Primates; Hylobatidae.